GACGAACGCUGGCGGCGUGCCUAAUACAUGCAAGUCGAACGAACCGCGACUAAGUGCUUGCACUAAGUCAAGGUGAGUGGCGAACGGGUGAGUAACACGUCGGUAACCUACCUCAUAGUGGGGGAUAACAGUCGGAAACGACUGCUAAUACCGCAUAGGACAUAGGGUCACAUGAUCCAGUGAGGAGAGUUGGCGCAAGCUAUCGCUAAGAGAUGGACCCGCGGUGCAUUAGCUAGUUGGUAGGGUAAAGGCCUACCAAGGCGACGAUCCAUAGCCGGCCUGAGAGGAUGAUCGGCCACAUUGGGACUGAGACACGGCCCAAACUCCUACGGGAGGCAGCAGUAGGGAAUAUUGCGCAAUGGACGCAAGCCUGACGGAGCAACGCCGCGUGAGUGAAGAAGGUCUUCGGGUCGUAAAGCUCUGUUGUUAGGGAAGAACAGCGCAUAGAGUAACUGCUAUGCGUGUGACGGUACCUAACCAGAAAGCCACGGCUAACUACGUG
This 502-nucleotide ribosomal RNA is filed under the name uncultured bacterium. RNAcentral's name for it is "partial 16S ribosomal RNA". It matches the Rfam family "Bacterial small subunit ribosomal RNA", at positions 28 to 507 of the family's 1533-position model. The record is from RNAcentral.